CCUACGGGUGGCAGCAGUGAGGAAUAUUGGUCAAUGGACGAGAGCCUGAACCAGCCAAGUAGCGUGAAGGAUGACUGCCCUAUGGGUUGUAAACUUCUUUUAUAAGGGAAUAAAACGAGGCACGUGUGCCUUUUUGCAUGUACCUUAUGAAUAAGGAUCGGCUAACUCCGUGCCAGCAGCCGCGGUAAUACGGAGGAUCCGAGCGUUAUCCGGAUUUAUUGGGUUUAAAGGGAGCGUAGGUGGGUCGUUAAGUCAGUUGUGAAAGUUUGCGGCUCAACCGUAAAAUUGCAAUUGAUACUGGUAGUCUUGAGUACAGUUGAGGUAGGCGGAAUUCGUGGUGUAGCGGUGAAAUGCUUAGAUAUCACGAAGAACCCCGAUUGCGAAGGCAGCUUACUAGCCUGUGACUGACGUUGAUGCUCGAAAGUGUGGGUAUCGAACAGGAUUAGAUACCCCAGUAGUC
RNAcentral lists this ribosomal RNA (460 nucleotides) under uncultured bacterium. Its description in RNAcentral is "partial 16S ribosomal RNA". It matches the Rfam family "Bacterial small subunit ribosomal RNA", at positions 338 to 795 of the family's 1533-position model. The record is from RNAcentral.